RNAcentral lists this ribosomal RNA (251 nucleotides) under uncultured bacterium. Its description in RNAcentral is "partial 16S ribosomal RNA". It matches the Rfam family "Bacterial small subunit ribosomal RNA", at positions 524 to 773 of the family's 1533-position model. The record is from RNAcentral.
UACGAAGGGGGCUAGCGUUGUUCGGAAUUACUGGGCGUAAAGCGCACGUAGGCGGAUAUUUAAGUCAGGGGUGAAAUCCCAGAGCUCAACUCUGGAACUGCCUUUGAUACUGGGUAUCUUGAGUAUGGAAGAGGUAAGUGGAAUUGCGAGUGUAGAGGUGAAAUUCGUAGAUAUUAGGAAGAACACCAGUGGCGAAGGCGGCUCACUGGUCCGGUACUGGACGCUGAGGUGCGAAAGCGUGGGGAGCAAAC